RNAcentral lists this ribosomal RNA (261 nucleotides) under uncultured bacterium. Its description in RNAcentral is "partial 16S ribosomal RNA". It matches the Rfam family "Bacterial small subunit ribosomal RNA", at positions 94 to 353 of the family's 1533-position model. The record is from RNAcentral.
AGCGGCGGACGGGUGAGUAACGCGUGGGUAACCUGCCUCAUACAGGGGGAUAACAGUUGGAAACGGCUGCUAAUACCGCAUAAGCGCACAGUACCGCAUGGUACGGUGUGAAAAACUCCGGUGGUAUGAGAUGGACCCGCGUCUGAUUAGCUAGUUGGUGGGGUAACGGCCUACCAAGGCGACGAUCAGUAGCCGGUCUGAGAGGAUGAACGGCCACAUUGGGACUGAGACACGGCCCAGACUCCUACGGGAGGCAGCAUG